CCUACGGGUGGCAGCAGUGGGGAAUUUUGGGCAAUGGGCGCAAGCCUGACCCAGCAACGCCGCGUGAAGGAAGAAGGCUUUCGGGUUGUAAACUUCUCUUGUCAGGGAAGAGUAGAAGACGGUACCUGACGAAUAAGCAACGGCUAACUACGUGCCAGCAGCCGCGGUAAUACGUAGGUGGCAAGCGUUGUCCGGAUUUACUGGGUGUAAAGGGCGUGUAGCCGGGUUGAAAAGUCAGAUGUGAAAUCCUGCGGCUUAACCGCAGAACUGCAUUUGAAACUGUUGAUCUUGAGUACUGGAGAGGCAGACGGAAUUCCUAGUGUAGCGGUGAAAUGCGUAGAUAUUAGGAGGAACACCAGUGGCGAAGGCGGUCUGCUGGACAGCAACUGACGGUGAGGCGCGAAAGCGUGGGGGGCAAACAGGAUUAGAUACCCCUGUAGUC
This 442-nucleotide ribosomal RNA is filed under the name uncultured bacterium. RNAcentral describes it as "partial 16S ribosomal RNA". It matches the Rfam family "Bacterial small subunit ribosomal RNA", at positions 338 to 795 of the family's 1533-position model. The record is from RNAcentral.